AUGUUAGACAGGUUACAUCAACUGUCAGUGUUAGUGUCACUUUUUAGCAAGAUGACCACGCGGUCGGCUCGUCGGCUAACACGAGCUUUCGACGAAAUACAAAUAGCAGAACUUCCUAAUAAUUCGGAGUUCGAAGACUCGGAUGAUGAAGAUGUGCCUGACCUGACCUAACCUAAACCUAUCCUCGGAAUCUGAAGGUGGAGAAAUAGAAAUCGCAGUAAGUGGAGGUGGAUCUACUCGUCGUACUCAAAGUGCUCGUGACCAACGAGUUGGACGUGGCCGUGGCAGAAGUACAAGUACAAGGGCACGACAUACCGGGUAUAGUGCCGUACCAUCAAAAAUACGACGCUUAUAUGGCAAUAUGCACUUACCGGAACAUCUAGACAAAUAACAACGAGGCCAUCUCUCUGGGUGUGACAAAAGGAGUUUAUUUAAAUGCUCUGACUGUAAUAUAGCUAUUUGCCUAAACUCAACAAGAAAUUGUUGCAGGGCCUUUCAUCGACAAGAGAAUUAAUAAUAAGCAAUAAAAACCAUAUCUUGUCGACUUUAGUUUAUAAAAAUAUUGAUCUCGUAUACUUGACUGUGAUUUUGAAAUAAGAUGUCAAUUAAACUAGCACUUAAGGAAGAUUGUUUGUCCUCUAUCCUAUUUCGAUAAUUAAGAAUAGUGUGUUAUCCUCUGGUUUAUAAAAGUAAAUUAUGCUAAUAUUGUCUUUGAGGACGUAUUUUAUAAAUGUUUCUAGAAGAAAAAUAUUGUUUAUGUUGUAAUAAAAUAAAAUAUAUACUA
This is a long non-coding RNA of Melitaea cinxia (Glanville fritillary), 784 nucleotides long. RefSeq lists it as uncharacterized. NCBI's taxonomy places the organism in Eukaryota, Metazoa, Arthropoda, Insecta, Lepidoptera, Nymphalidae. The record is from RefSeq and is a predicted model, not a curated record. The transcript has 2 exons.